Long non-coding RNA from Heterocephalus glaber (naked mole-rat), 10380 nucleotides. RefSeq lists it as uncharacterized. The record is from RefSeq and is a predicted model, not a curated record. Lineage: Eukaryota; Metazoa; Chordata; Mammalia; Rodentia; Bathyergidae.
UGGCAUGCUGCAAACAACAGGUGAGAACACGCCCUUUACUCCUCUGCUUCCCGCAUCCCUGCAAGGUCAUUUCCAUGGGCCCCGCCAUACCCAGGGAACAAACACCCAGGGCUGGGCCAAAGAGAGAGAGUGGUUGCUGAGGUCGCCCACACCCCACCUGGUGGGCGGCAGACAGCACAAGGAUUUGAGUCCGCAUUCCUAUGACCUCAUUCUCAGGCUGCUCCUGCCCAGUCAGUGUCCCCAGUGGCUCACGGGACAGCGAGGCCAGGGGACAUCUGGGCAGCAGAUGUUCGCCUUCUGCUUCCGCUUUCUGUCACUGCUUGUCCCCCUUGGCCAAAUGGCUGUGAGUCUGCAAAGGCCUGGCUCUCUUUCUGCCUGCCUCUCCCUGCUGGCUCCGCUUUCCUCUGGUCCUGGUCUUGCUGCUCUCUGGCUGGAUGUUCUCUCCGCCUCUCGGCCUCCCUGUCCCCUGCCUUCCCUGUCACUCCCUUCUCUCUGUCUUCCCUCCUUCUACUUCUCUCUCUCUCCCUCUUCUCUCCCUCUGCCCAUCCCAGACAGCCUUCCCCACAGAGGGGCUCCUUGCCCCUCACCUGCCUGUGACAUCACUCACCUGUGACAUCACUGUGCCUUGUGCCCAGACACAACAAGCUGCCAGCGGCCGCUCUGACCGAAGUCUCUCCCUCUGCACUCUGCUGCUAAUCUACCCAGCUGCAGGCCCCUGGCCAAUUGCAAGAGCUUUAUCAGGACCUGUGGGCAUGGGAGCCCAUCGGGGAGACUGGAAACUUUCCCUUCAAGCUGCAAAUGUCCUUGUUGGCCUGGCUCCUGUCCCCAUCUCUGACCACCGUGGCCCACCCUGACAGUCCAGCUGGGAGGCCUGGACCCCUCUCCUCUUGUUCUCUCUGCCUCCAAAAGCCUUUUAGGAGGUGGAAGGCCCCUCAGCGGGUGUCCUGUUUUGUACCUGGGGAAACUGAGAGCUGGGGAGGGUCUGUCAUGUACAUGGUGCUCCCCAGAGCCUAGAACUGUGGCUGGCACCCCACAUCCCUUAUGCUUCAGCUAGAUCUGUGUCUUUGUUGCAUAAAUCAGCAGACGGGGCUCAGGAGGUGCAAUGAGUAGUAUCCCAGGCUCACACAGCUUAAGGAUCAGCUUAGGGCUCCAACCACAAACUCUCUGACCCCAAAGCCCAAGAUUACAGCCUCAGCCAGUAGCUAAAAUAGUGUCAGACAUCAGUCUGGUGUUUAACUGUAUCUCUUGUCUGAGCAUCCUGGCCUCCCCCAGCCUGGACAAUCAUAGGUCAGGACGCCUUUGCCUGCUGCCGAAGUGCCCUGGUUGUCAACCUGUUUCCCACCCUCCAGGGCAGAAGGAAGGGGCCUCCCAGCUCCCACAAGACUCCAGGAGAACUGAGAAGCAGGAAGGUCACAGCGCCAGCAGACACUCCAGCCUCCACAGCCCUGGCUGCCGCCCUGGACAGAAUUAGCUGAGCGCCGGGAGGGGAGCGGGACUCGCUUCCUCCCUGGUCCCACACCCACGUGGGGCUCCUGCUGAGUCACCACGGGAGCUGAGCACUCACCCCACCAUGAUGUGCUGUCUCACCAAAGGCCCAGAGCAAUUAGCUAGGAACUGAAACCUCCAAAGCCGUGAGCCAAAAGCCAGAAAGCCACCCCGGCCCCCAGCAACAGGUCCAGUAUCAGCCCGGCCACCAGCCCAGUGCACAAAGCCUCCGGGAAGACAGCCGUGCCUCUUCUCAUAAACCCUGGCCGGCCCUGGAGGUGGCCAGUAAAUCAGUGCUUAUCUCCCACUGGUCUGGGAGGCCCAGGACUCCGUACACUUAAUCCUCUGAAGACAGCCUGCAGCCCACUCGUGCAGUUAAUCCCGAGCUGUGUACACAGCACAUCUGGAAGGAGUCAGGCGUGGGAGCAUUCACGUAGGCUGCUCAGGAUGUGGUCGGAGAAGCUGCCGAGGGAUCAAUUUGUCCCCAAGCCAGGAGCCAGCCUGGGACAUGCAUGGGGCUUUGCUCCCUCCUCCAUCUCUCUGUCAGAUGAAUGAGGAGAACACAUCACCAGGACCUUAAAGUCAUACCAGGUACAUGAGACCCAGCAGGCCAUCUCGGCAGGAACCUUCGAGCCCUUGGCUGCUGGGGUUUAAUACGAAUAGCAAUCAAUGUGCUGACUUCAUUUUACUGAGCACCUACUAAGUGUGCUAGGACACUGAGGGACGCUUUGUGAGCCUCACCUGCCCCAAAACCUGUCAGACGGACUUCUUCAUGCCAUUUCAGAACUGAGAAGCUGAGGCCCAGCCAGGCUGAGAGCUUCCCCAAGGUCAUGUGGCUAGUAAAGGACAGAGAUGAGGUCUGAACCCAAAUUAAGAAUCAAAUGCUCUUUCUUUUACACUUCACAGCCCCCACUUAGCAAAUGUCCUUAGAUCUCUGACCCCACACCUACCCAGGGCCUCCAUUCAUUAUCUAUAAAACAAGGAUCUUGGUACUGAUGUUGACAAAGUCUCCUGUCCUGCUUUAAAGACUCUGUAGUUGAGACAGCCAAGUGUUCCUUCCCAGGUCUGGGGAUAAUAAAAAGCAGCAUGACUUGGUUCCAUGCUGUGUGGCUCUAGGAAAGUUACUUUGACUCCCUGAGCUGUGAUCGAAUCCUGAUAAAACGGCAAUAAUAAAACUUUCAUUGCAGGGAAUUUGGGGCCAGGGGUCCUGAAGAAGGGAUCUCUGGGGACCCCAUACAGCUCUAAGAUCUCUGGAUCUAGGGCUCAAUUUACCGUCCUGCCCCUGCCACCCAAGAGCAAGACCAGAUUCUUCCUGACUGCAACAAGUUUUCCCAAGCCUCACAGUGACUCAGAGCCCUGCUUGGUGUUGGGCAGACCAGGUUCAAAGGGCUUCUCUGGUCCUUGUCUGGAACAUGGGGUUUGUAUUAUCACCCUGCUCUGGAGGGGACCGUGAACGCAACAACAAACAGCAAUGUGGAUAUGGUACCUGGCACGCAGUAGGUGCUCAGUAAAACUCAAACAGUGAUUUUCUGUGGAAGCCGCCAUGUCCUUGUCCCACAGUGGGGCCUGAGAGGGAGGCUGGGCCCCAUCCUCCUCCCCAGCAUCCCCACAGCCUCUACAGAGUCUCGGCAAAGCAUCCUUCACAGUUUAUUAAAGCCUUUCAGUGGGGUGUUCAGGGCACUGAAGCUUAAGCCAGAGGUGGCCUGGCUGUGCGACCUCCAGGCUUCUGUCUCUACUUCUGGGACCUGCAGGUCAGCCGACUCUGCCGUGCAGGAGAACAGCCUAACUGGUGGGCCUGGAAAGCCAGCCAGCAGUGGUCCUUCAUCCUCAUUUCACAGAUGAGAAGACUGAGAUUCCAACUUGGAGAUCUUCCCCUAAGCACCCAGCAAUCCAGAAAUAUUUACUGAACACCUACUAUAUGCGGGGCCCAGAUGAGCCCAGGGACACAGCAGAGGACAGAACAGACACAUUCUGCCCCUGGGAGGGGGCCUGAGGGUACCCAACAGAUAAGUAAAUUCAUACAUGACAAAGAACGCAAGGGCUCUGGAAGCCAACUGCCAUACACUGGCUGUGUGACCUUUGGCAAGUCACCAUACUUCUCUGUGCCUCAAUUUCCCUAUCCGAAAAAUAGGGGUGCUAGUAGCUCCUCCCCGACAGGGGGUUUACAAGGAUUAAAUGAAUUUAUGUUGGUAAUGGUUUAGAAGCAUGUCUUGUUCACGGGAAGCAUUGUGUAAAUGUUGGGAAAAUAAAUGAAUAUAAUAGCACAUAGUAAGAUGUACAGGAAAUAAACUGUAAAAAGGAGCAGAGCAUAGAAAGUUAGGGGCCACAGGUUUAGGAAGAGGUGAUAUUUGAAUGGAGACCUAACUAAGGGAGAGGGAGGCAUGCACCUAUCUGAUGGAGAAGAAUUUCAGGCAGUGGGAAUGACAAGUGCAAAGGUCCUGAGACAGCAGCAGAAUUAACAGCUACAAGAAAUGGCACAGGCUCCUGCAUUCAUCCAUUCACUAAAAAAGCUGUGAAUGGGCACUUUCUAUGUGCUGCCUCCUUCCUAGAGCUGUUAGAGUAAGUUGAUCCCAUCCCUGCCCUCCCAGCGGGGUGGGGAUCAAGAUGUGAUCUAAAGUCUGAACUUCCUGCAAACUGGCCAUGCAGAACUAUAUUCGCGAUAGGGUGGGAUUUGCCACAGUCCUCACCCUUCCCUGUUGUCCCCUGGACUCUAGGCCAAUAAGUCACCUUGAGUUAAUCAUGCUGUUUACCCUGGUCUCUGCUGUUGCAGAAAGAAGAGCAGUCCAGUGAGAAGGAUGAAGCGAGCCAUUCCUGCUUUCAGCUUUCAUGAGAGGGCACACAUGUCAUUGCAGAAGUGAACAACACACAUUCAGCAUUCGUGUCUCCCGUUGGGCCCAGCUGGUUGCUGAGUUGUGGCCCUGGGUCGGUCCAAAGUGAAGGGAAAGUGGCUGGGAGACAAGGGGGAGCUCGUGGAGGAGGUGGUGUCUGAGCUGAGUUUGGAGAGCACAAAGCCUUUGCCAGAUGGAGCAACAGGGAGGAGGGCUGUGUGUGCCAAGUCACAGGGGCUUGAUGAAGUGGGGUUGGCAUGGGUGUGACAGGGACAUACUGAGGAGAGAAGAGGGGUUCAGAUUGUAUGGCCCCCUGAAAGUCAUCAACUGUCUGCUGUGGGCAGUGGGAGCCAUGGAUGGUUUUAAGCACUGGGUACUCAUCCCUCUAGAAGGAUUCCGGUUCCUACCUGGAUGUGUGUUGAGGACCACACAGGAGCAAAGGAGAAUGGAAGAGAAGGACAGUGAGGGCCUGGUGAGCUGAAGGUGAGGAACAAUCUUUUGAGGUUCCGGGAACCUGUGUUUCUCUCAGAGAACUGUGGAGUUUGUCAAUCUCAUUUGUGUUCAAGAUUUUCCUUAGUAGCAUAUGAGUGGGUUUGUUUCCAGAGCCAUAUCCAUAGCAACCACCAAUGCUCCAAGAAAGGUCUUGAAAGAGCAGAUGAAUGAGGACCAGAGACACUCAGAUGAGUCCUCCCAGGAGAAGCCAGUCCCUGGCCUUGAGCCCCGCCUCCCACCAGAGUCCCUGAUGCUGCAGAUGAAAUCUGGUCACCAUGGAGAUGCCGAUUCCCCAUUCCCAGGCCUAACUGACCCCGGCCCUUCAGCAGAGGCAGGGGAGAGAUGCGAGGAAGAUGGUGCUGAGAGUCACAGCCAGACCUGAGCUUGAAAGGCUGGCGGGCACUUCCCAGGACAGGUGCAGGAAGCACCAGGAGAUGAAGGAGCAACCUGUGAGGUCGGAGUUCUGGAUCCCGGAAAGGCAUCCCUAGGCCCCAAAUGAUGCUGCCAGCUUUACUGUGGUGCCUGGAAUCUAGUUUGAGUUCUAGGGCUCACCCCCGCCACCCCACCCCACCCCAGUACAAUGCAGGGGAAGGCAGGGUUGGAGAGGAAGAAGGAGCAGGAGGAGGAAGGUGUCAAGAGAAAGAGAAAGGGGCUUUGGGGCCGAGAUUAUACAACAAAAUGACAGCAGGAUCAGAAUUGGACAUCAGCUCUUCUUACUUCAUCAGAUCCGGUCAGUGGUUGCUGGGUGGAAGUAAGUGUGUGUGUGUGUGUGUGUGUGUGCGCGUGUGUGUGCGCGUGUGUGCAUGCAUUAGCAUUUACAUGUGCCUGGAGAGGCUGUGGAGGGGACAGGGAGCACAGAGGAGGGGGGAAGCACCAGGAGGGAAAGUGGGGUCCCUCCCUGGGCAGGAGCACCAGUUCCCUUCUCCUGGGCCAGCCCAGAGAGAGCGGGAACCUGGGGUUACUGCAUGAGGACAGGGCCUCUGGGCUCCUGGGAAGUCCUGGGUGGGUUCAGUAAAGGGUUUCUGGGAGGCCUCAGAGCACAAGUGCUCCAAGUCCAGCCCAUUCCUUGUGCUCAAGGAGCCCAGUGCCCCCAACAUGGGACUCAAGGCCCCCUGGGCUUUGCUCUGUGAGUUCCUCUGUCUAUUCUUUUCUUUUCUUCCUCUCUUUCUUUCUCCCUCUCUCUCUCUUUCUUUCUUUCUUUCUCUCUUUCAAUACUGGGGAUUGAACCCAUCCCUUUUUAUCUUUUUUGUUUUGAGACAGGGUCUCAUUAAGUUGCUCAGGCUGGGCUUAAAGUUGAGAUCCUCCUGCUUCAGCCUCCAGAACAGCAAGGGUUACAGGUGUGCACCAUCACUCCUGGCUCAGGGUGUGGUGCGCUUUUCACAAGAGUCCCCUGGCUCCUCCCACCCUCACUGUGCCCUGUGCACUAAUCACACAGGGCAGGCCCCAAAUGACAAGAAGAAAGAACAACCCCAUGAGGGGUGUCUGGCCCACCUCACAGAUUCUCAGUCCAGGCCACCAGCCAGCCCCAGGGAGCCAGGGCUCAAAGUCAGAUCUACAGGUGCCCAAGGCCCGUGCUGUGAUAGAAGCCCCAGGCACUUUUUAAAAUGCCCCUGUGUCCUGUCACAGCGGCUCAGCAGCCCCAGACAAGGCUGUGAGAUGUGUCCACUUGGUUUCCCUUCCUUCCUCUCCCUCACAGCGAGUCCUGCUGAGGACUCAGAAGGGCUCACCCACUGCCCAUUGCCCAUGAGAAGAUCGCAAGCCAGGGACUGCACAGGACUUUAGGCCUGGGGUAGGCACCACCUGUCCCACCCCGCCUCCCCUCAGAAUGAGCCCUCAGGGCGGAUGCCCCUGAUCCCAAUUUUCAGAUGUGGAAGCUGAGGCACACACAGCCAGGCCACUGACCCAUGAUCCCACAGCUAGGGAGAGGUGAGAGGAGGAUUUGAAUCUGGACUGUUCUAACUCCACAGUCCACAACUCUGAUGACCAUGACUGUCCUUUGUGUAUGGUCUGUGGCUGGUCCCCUGGGCACAGAGCCUGCCAUCCUGCAUUGGUUGCCCACACCUGUGCCCAGGUCUGGCAGGUGAGCAACACAACGCACAUCUGCACCCCCACCCCACGAGACCCUCGGUGACCCCAACUCACUCUGGACAGCGCAGGCUGAGAGGCAGGAGGGGGUGCUGUGGGUCUGCCCAUCCCAGGCCAUCCUGAGAGACCCCAGAGCCCUAAGGUGCCUGGCACCCAGCCCAGGCUGCCUGUCCCAGGCGAAGGAACCUUGGGCUGCCAGGCAGUUCCCGCCCCUGGAAAUUUCCUAAAUCCAGCCCAGGCAGCUGGCAAAUGGGCUGGCACAGCUGCCAGCAGCCAGGAUGAUGGGGUUUGAGAGCCCAUGCUGUUCCCAGGCCCUGGGGAGGAGGCACAGGCUGCCCUGUGCUGUCACCCCUUCCAAGGCGAAGCCCAAUUUUGACCCUGGAGGGAUCUGGCUGGGAAAACUGCCCUCCACCCUCUGAGGCAAACAGAAAGCUGGUGUGAGACCAGAGGAGGUUCCAGGAUCCUGGUGGAGAGGCUCUAGGGUCUGCGGGUUUGCCACCCUCAUGUUAAAGAAAAGUCUCAGGGCCACAUCACACCCAGAUGCCAGCUCCCACCUGCCCCCUGGCUCGCUGUGUCGUCCUGGGCACCAGACACAGUCGCUCCAUCUGCAAAGCCGGCUGCGUGAGGCCGCACCCGGUCUGCAAAGGAUGUCACAGGCAAACCAGGACAGGCUGGUCACUCCAAGUACCCACAGAGACAAGCAUGCCCUGUGGCUUGAGGCUUAAAGAGAGGCACUCGGAAGUCAGAAAUUUGAAUCCCUGGCCAGCAGAACUUCUAGAGAGACUCAUCAAGUUCUUAGGAAGCACUUCCUGUUUCACUAAACCGAACUUGAACAACCUGCUGUGUUCAUCUCAGGCCUGGUUCAAGUCCCUGGAGUCACAUAGAUCAUAUCCGCCACCUCUCUCCAACGGUGGUGCACCCACUUCCUCACUUUGUCCUUAGCAAGCACUUUUUCUGCAACUUUUUUUUUUGGCAGUAUUAGGGAUUGAAUUUAGACCCUUCCCACUGGGCUAUAUCCCCACCCAUCCACCCUCUUUUAUUUUUAUUUUUUAUUAUGAGACAGAGUCUCACUAAGUUGCCCAGGCAGGGCUCAAACUUGCGAUCCUCCUGCCUCAGCCUCUGGUAGUCUUGGGAUUGCAUUAUUCUUACCCCCUUGCCAGCUGGCCUGCACUGGGUCAAUCAAUGGAGUCGCUUUCUCUGGAGAGUCUUUCUUGUAGGUUUGUCGAUUUGUUUGUUUGCUUAGGGACUGGUUUGGCCCUGAAAGAGGUGAAGAGUUCAAAAGAGGUUCGAUCCAUGGGGAACGGAAAUGAAAAGUGAGAGUGAAAGGAGAUAGGAGGAUGUGGGCUGGGGACAGACCUGGAGCCAGAACUGAGGGGGAAAUGCACACAGUAAGAAAUGUCCUAAACGCUGACGAAGGUAUGCUGCGCACUGGACUCCAGUCUGACGGGCAGACCAGCUACACAGGUAGCCGAGAACAGCCCCCUGGAAUGGAGGCUCCCUGAUGCCAGAGCUGCUUCCUCCAGAGGCCUGCACAGCGGGGACCCUUUGGGUCUGACCACGCCCAGCCUUGAGUUCCCGGAUGUUGUGAAGGCUCCAGUGAUGUUGUCCAGUACAGCAAUUCAGAAAAAGACACUUUCCCCCAGACAAGCCAGGGGAGGGGGUGACUGUUCAAUUCCAUCUAGACACACUCUUGUACCAUGGCUGGUUUAAUCUCAAGAAAUUUCUGGAACAUCUGAGAGAGGGCCUGAAGUCGUCCUCCUGUGAUUGCCUCUCUCUACACUCGUGAGGGACAGGCCUGGCGUCCUCACACAUGGCCGUUAACAUGUUCUAUGAAACACGAACCUGAGGAGGACACAGACCUCAGAUACGCCCCACUUACGUACUCACGGAGCCUGCCUCUUGUGGUCUAGGAGCCCUGUCUGGACUAUAAGUUGUUCAAGAGCCCCUCCCUCUCUGUCCUGGAGGAGAGGGCACCAAUGGAAUAAAAGCCCCGUGUCCUGCCCUUGCCUCCUACUUUGUGCUGGGCCCUGUGCUAAGCUCUGGUCCUACGUCAUUGGACUCCCAUAAGGGCCCUCUAAGGCAGGUGCUGCUAUGAUCCUCAUUUGACAGAUGGGGAAACUGAGGCUCAAACAGCUAUUUAAGAGGGUAGCUGCGUGCCAGUCACCUGUGUCAGGAACUGCCAAGGAUUCAGAUAGCACUUGCUUCUUCACGGAAACGACUCUUCCAGUUCCCUCUGUCAUCCAGGGGUAAAGACUGAGCCUUAGGUCCCAGGUAAAAGGCACGGUGCGGGGACCCAGAAUCAGGGGAGAGGACUGUGGAUGUACCAGGAAGGCAGAUUUGUGCCCCAGGUCCCCUUGGUGGCCCCAAAGGUGGAGCUGGACUCUGUGGGUCCUCCUAGAAAGACAGCAGGGCAGCAACAGGCCAGCUGGAGGGUUCCAGAGUUGCCUGGAUCUCAGCGAUGGAAGCCUGAGACCUCAAGGACCAUGUUGUGGAGGUGAGUGGCAUACUUGGGCAGCCCCUGGCAAUGCCCCCUUUUUGUGGAGUUAGUGGGGAUGGAACCCAGGAACUCCACUCUGAGCUACAUCCCCACCUCCUUUUUAUUUUUUACUUUGAGACAAGGCCUCACUAGGGCACUAAGUUGCCCAGGCUCAAACUUGUCAUCCUCCUGCCUCAGCCUCCCAGAGUGCUGGGAUUACUGGCCUGUACCACCAGGCCUGGCUUUUUUUUUUCUACUUGUCUUCAUCUCUGAAAUAAAGCAGUGCCAAAAUUCCUGGAGUGCCAAAGCCCUUCCCUCUGUCAACUGGCCCCAGCCUUCCUGGACUUAGGAAAGGGUCCAAAGGAAUUUUCCACCCUCCGCUCAAGAACCCAGCCUGCUGGCAUCAGGACUCCCCCCUCCCGGGCAGGAGUCCAGUCUCCUUCUGUGUAACACUCAUGGUCCUCCCCAGCCACCUCCCAAGGCCUAAGCGGCAGACAAAGAAGUCUUUGUCUCCCUCCUCCCUGCCUCCUUGUCCUCCUGCAAAGAACUCAGCCCAUGACAUCUCCGGCAGAGCACCCUCCACGCACACCCUUCAUACUGCUGCCUCGCUGAGGCCUGGGAACCACAGCUGUCAACCUCAGGAUCCUCCCUCUCUCUCUCUUUGCCUCCCAACUACCCUGACGACCGCCUCCCCGCACAACUCACAGGCAAAGACAGCAAAGCUCAGAGGGCUCAAGCAAUCUGCCCAGGGUCACACAGCUUGAACGUGGAGAAGCCAGGACUUGAAGCCAAAGCCAUGUUCAAGGUGUGGUGGUGAAGGGUGCAGAUGAUGGAGCCAGAUGCCCAAGUUCCAGUGCCAGUUCUGCCACAUAGUACCUGUGGGAGCUCUCCGUGUUUAAAUUCUGUGCCUCCAUUUCCCUAUCUGUAAAAUGGAGCGGUAAUACUGUGUAUUUCAUAGAGUUGAUAUUCGGUAUAAUAAGAGAAGGAAUGUAAAACACAUGGAACUAUGAUGCA